RNAcentral lists this long non-coding RNA (323 nucleotides) under Trifolium pratense (red clover). Its description in RNAcentral is "long non-coding RNA (TPRA_LNC007403)". Lineage: Eukaryota; Viridiplantae; Streptophyta; Magnoliopsida; Fabales; Fabaceae. The record is from RNAcentral.
AACCCAAUUUUUCACUACCUUACAUCAACUCACUGAAACCAUUCUACCAGGAAAAUGGUUUCAGAGUACAAAUCUCUGAAACCAUUCUACCAGCUAAAUUGUUUCAGAAGCAAAUAACUAAGAAUCAACUUACUGAAAUCAUUCUACCAGCAAAAUGGUUUCAGAAGCAAACACAAUUAAUAAAUUACUCACUGAAACCAUUCUACCAGUAAAAUAGUUUCAGAGUACAACUAUGUGCAACCAUUCUACAAGCUAAAUGGUUCAGAAGCAAAUAACUAAUAAUCAACUUACUGAAACCAUUCUACCAGCAAAAUGGUUUCAGA